GGGGAUGUAGUUCAGUGGUACAGUGCUUGCUUAGCAUGCAUGAGGCCUUGGUUUAAUCCCUAGCAUUCCCC
RNAcentral lists this transfer RNA (71 nucleotides) under Heterocephalus glaber (naked mole-rat). It matches the Rfam family "tRNA". Rfam says of the family: Transfer RNA (tRNA) molecules are approximately 80 nucleotides in length. Their secondary structure includes four short double-helical elements and three loops (D, anti-codon, and T loops). Lineage: Eukaryota; Metazoa; Chordata; Mammalia; Rodentia; Bathyergidae. The record is from Rfam by way of RNAcentral.